AUAAGCACCGGUGCUUAAGAA
Molecule: microRNA, 21 nt
Filed under: Triticum aestivum (bread wheat)
Lineage: Eukaryota; Viridiplantae; Streptophyta; Magnoliopsida; Poales; Poaceae
Description: tae-miR9783
Source: miRBase by way of RNAcentral